RNAcentral lists this long non-coding RNA (1372 nucleotides) under Anas platyrhynchos platyrhynchos (common mallard). RNAcentral describes it as "lncRNA (ENSAPLG00000029199.1)". The record is from RNAcentral. Lineage: Eukaryota; Metazoa; Chordata; Aves; Anseriformes; Anatidae.
AUGAGAGAUAAAGAAGGCGAGCGUAGCUUGCAUCAGCCGCGUGGAGCUGGGUGUUUCACCAACUUGCGCAAAGCGAGCGGCCGAAUUACUUGGGCUGCAGCCACCCCUGCCCAGUGUCACCACUGCCCCCUGAGCCCGUCCCACUCGUCACACCGAUGGGCUGCUCUGGGAGCUGGCAUCCCGGGAGGGUUUCCUCUGCUGCUGCCUGGGCAAACUGAGACAUCCUCUGAGCAUCUCCAUGUCCGUGAGCAUCCUGCAUCCCUGAGCGUCUCCGUAUCCCGCAGCAUCCCACGUCCCUACACCAGCAGGUCCCAGGCACGGGGCCGAGGGCGCAGCAGGAGCCCCGCAGGGGAGGAGUGCUGCGGAGGGUGACGGCAACGUAGCACCUACUCUAAUGGGAUCCUCUCCACAAGUAAUUAAGCCUCGGCUAAUGCUAACCGUAAUGUGAUGUAUGUAUGCCUUUAACUAAUCAUUUAUUAGCCUCGUUGAUGGUUUGUCAAUAUUAAUUCAUUUAUUUAAACAACUCCGAGCUGUAAUGAAGAUGUUUGCUUUAAGGGGGAAAAAAAGAGAUGGAGCUGCCAGGAGAUUUUUUGUUGACUCGAUGGAUGUCGCUCUGCCCUGGGUGAUGAGCGGCGUCCCUGCCCUCAAAGCCUGGCCCCUCGCUGCCAGCAGUGUCCCCAACCUGGUGGCAGCCCCCGGAGCAUCCCGAGGGGCUGCUGUAGGGCUGUAGGGACCCCCCCUCACAGCACCUCUGGGCUGGCUAGGAUGGGGCCACCCGAAGCAGCUGAGCGCUGUGACUGGAACAACUUUGUUUUGAAGAAUUUCCAUCAGUUUGACCUUAAAAUGUUCUAGCCGUACUUAGACGCCUGAAGUCAGACCCAAAUGUGCUGCACGACCAGGAACAAUUGGUUUCUGCUGACUUUCGACUUGGUAAUGAUUUCAAAUUGGUUUUCAUUUCAAAUCAAAUUACUUCUAUUUAAUAUUUUUUUGAGGUGGGGGAAAGGGAAAUUGACAAGAAACUGAAAAAAUGUAUUUUUUAUUCCAUUUGAUAGCCCACCUUGGGCUGGAUUUGCUCUUCCUUCUGCAGCCCGUGGGUGCCAAGGCCAGCAGGGUGCUCUCCAGGGGAGCAUCCCCAGGGCAGCAGGGUCCUGUGCCGGGGCUGUGCCAAACAGCUCCCGCAGCACGGGCUUUGGUGCUGGCCCUGGAUGUUGCAGCAGCUGCUUUCAGCUCUCCUCCUCAGCUUCUUAAUAUCAGCUAGAUCACAGUAUUAAAGUUAACUUUCUCUUAAACAAGCUUAAUUAGCGUCCUUCAGACAAACAUAAAUUAAUCCCGGGCUGCUCUGGAAGAUGCGGAAAUUCCCCUUGAUCGAUUG